CAGCCGCCGCGGUAAUACGGAGGGUGCAAGCGUUAAUCGGAAUUACUGGGCGUAAAGCGCACGCAGGCGGUCUGUCAAGUCAGAUGUGAAAUCCCCGGGCUUAACCUGGGAACUGCAUUUGAAACUGGCAGGCUAGAGUCUUGUAGAGGGGGGUAGAAUUCCAGGUGUAGCGGUGAAAUGCGUAGAUAUAGGAAGGAACACCAGUGGCGAAGGCGACCACCUGGACUGAUACUGACACUGAGGUGCGAAAGCGUGGGGAGCAAACAGGAUUAGAUACCCGAGUAGUCCCUGUCUCUUAUAC
Molecule: ribosomal RNA, 301 nt
Filed under: uncultured bacterium
Lineage: Bacteria
Description: partial 16S ribosomal RNA
Rfam family: Bacterial small subunit ribosomal RNA
Source: RNAcentral